CCCCAGCGAUGAGCUCGCACCUCAACGUGGUGCUGGGGUCCAGUAGUCCUCGAUGGUUACGAGGACGAAGCGAAGAUGAGC
This 81-nucleotide non-coding RNA is filed under the name Aspergillus terreus NIH2624. The record is from RNAcentral. Lineage: Eukaryota; Fungi; Ascomycota; Eurotiomycetes; Eurotiales; Aspergillaceae.